Molecule: non-coding RNA, 850 nt
Filed under: Haletta semifasciata (blue weed whiting)
Lineage: Eukaryota; Metazoa; Chordata; Actinopteri; Labriformes; Odacidae
Description: partial small subunit ribosomal RNA
Rfam family: Bacterial small subunit ribosomal RNA
Source: RNAcentral
CAAAGGCUUAGUCCUGACUUUAAUAUCAGCUUUAGCUAGAUUUAUACAUGCAAGUAUCCGCCCUCCUGUGAAAAUGCCCAACUGACCCCUGUUUGGGGGCAAGGAGCCGGUAUCAGGCUCAACCACAACACCUACGCCCAUGACGCCUUGCUUAGCCACACCCCCAAGGGACCUCAGCAGUAAUAGACAUUAAGCCAUGAGCGCCAGCUCGACUUAGUUAAAGCUAAACUAGGGCCGGUAAAACUCGUGCCAGCCACCGCGGUUAUACGAGAGACCCAAGUUGAUAAAAGACGGCGUAAAGAGUGGUUAGGGCCCAAAACCAACUAAAGCCAAAUGCCCACAAAGCUGUUAUACGCAUUCGAGGGCCAGAGGCUCCUCCACGAAAGUGGCUUUAUUUAACUGACCCCACGAAAGCUAGGAAACAAACUGGGAUUAGAAACCCCACUAUGCCCAGCCCUAAACCUUAAUGACUACUUACAGUUGUUGUACGCCCGGGAAUUACGAGCAUAAGCUUAAAACCCAAAAGACUUGGCGGUGCUUUAGACCCACCUAGAGGAGCCUGUUCUAGAACCGAUAACCCCCGUUCAACCUCACCUUUUCUUGUUUAUACCGCCUAUAUACCGCCGUCAUCAGCUUACCCUGUGAAGGAUCAAUAGUAAGCAUAAUUGGCACAGCCCAAAAUGUCAGGUCGAGGUGUAGCGUAUGGGAAGUGGAAGAAAUGGGCUACAUUUGGUGAAACACCACACUACGGAAAGUGGGCUGAAACGCCCGCUGGAAGGGGGAUUUAGUAGUAAGAAGAAAGCAGAGCGUUCUCCUGAAGCCGGCCCUGAAGCGCGUACAUACCGCCCGU